GACGAACGCUGGCGGCGUGCCUAAAACAUGCAAGUCGAACGAGGUCCAUCUGACCGUAAGGUCAGGGAAGACCUAGUGGCGAACGGGUGAGUAACACGUGAGGAACCUGCCCCGAAGUCUGGGAUAAGCUGGGGAAACCUGGUCUAAUACCGGAUCCCCUCUACGGAUCGCAUGGUCUGUUGAGGAAAGAAUUUCGCUUCGGGAGGGCCUCGCGGCCUAUCAGCUAGUUGGUGGGGUAACGGCCCACCAAGGCAUCGACGGGUAGCUGGUCUGAGAGGACGAUCAGCCACACUGGGACUGAGACACGGCCCAGACUCCUACGGGAGGCAGCAGUUAGGAAUCUUGCGCAAUGGGCGAAAGCCUGACGCAGCAACGCCGCGUGCGGGAGGAAGGCCCUCGGGUUGUAAACCGCUUUCAGUAGGGACGAAAUCAGACGGUACCUACAGAAGAAGCCCCGGCCAACUACGUGCCAGCAGCCGCAGU
Molecule: ribosomal RNA, 483 nt
Filed under: uncultured bacterium
Lineage: Bacteria
Description: bacterial SSU rRNA
Rfam family: Bacterial small subunit ribosomal RNA
Source: RNAcentral